RNAcentral lists this long non-coding RNA (578 nucleotides) under Ananas comosus (pineapple). RNAcentral's name for it is "long non-coding RNA (ACOM_LNC030394)". The record is from RNAcentral. Lineage: Eukaryota; Viridiplantae; Streptophyta; Magnoliopsida; Poales; Bromeliaceae.
UACAUGGAUAUGUAACGAAAAAAACAGCGACAAUGCAAUAAUAAUGCUAAUUGGUGUUUUAGAACUGUAACAGAUGAAAGAAGAGAUAUAGAGUUUAGUUCACCAUGUUUGGCGAUCUAGAAUCCACCUAAAAUGCUGCUAUUGACAAAAUCAAAGAGGAAACAGUUCAACACCAUAAUCCCUCACAAAAACUCAACAAAAUCACCUCCUAACAACAUAAUUUACUAUAUUUAUUUACUAAAAAAUUCAUGGUUAUAGAAAUCCCAAUCAAAAUAAAACAUGUUACUUACCUCCAAAAUCACACUUUCGAACUCGCCACGUCGAUCACAUUCUCGCCUUAGGCUCCUUCUCUCUUUCUUCCUCUCUCUAUCUACCUCACACAUUCUAUGUAGCAUAUUGAACUUUAGCAAAUUAUAAGGUUCCAGUGUUAGAAUAGCAUGUUGAGCUAUUCUGAAAGUUUUGAUGGUUGUCUAGAGUGUGUUGACAUGUUUUCGGAGCUAAAUGAGCGCGAGAAUAGGUUUUUGACGUCAAAAUCUGCAAACUGCAAUUUUGGUGUUGAGAACCGGUACCGGCUUGAG